GGCUCUGUGGUGUAGUGGUAGCACACGCCCCCGGUAUGGGUGAGAUGCGGGUUCAACUCCGGCCUGCAGUCG
Non-coding RNA from Parelaphostrongylus tenuis, 72 nucleotides. NCBI's taxonomy places the organism in Eukaryota, Metazoa, Nematoda, Chromadorea, Rhabditida, Metastrongylidae. The record is from the annotation of a GenBank genome assembly.